AAGACUUAUUGCAUUAGAACAAAUUGUUCCAUCCGAUCCCAUUUCGAACUCGAUGUAUGCCAAAGGUUUGUUCGUUUUAUUUAAUUUUAGUAAAAUUUGUAAGUCUU
RNAcentral lists this ribosomal RNA (107 nucleotides) under Tsukubamonas globosa. Lineage: Eukaryota; Tsukubea; Tsukubamonadida; Tsukubamonadidae. The record is from RNAcentral.